RNAcentral lists this ribosomal RNA (254 nucleotides) under uncultured bacterium. RNAcentral describes it as "partial 16S ribosomal RNA". It matches the Rfam family "Bacterial small subunit ribosomal RNA", at positions 524 to 776 of the family's 1533-position model. The record is from RNAcentral.
UACGUAGGGGGCAAGCGUUGUCCGGAUUUAUUGGGCGUAAAGAGCGUGUAGGCGGUUUGGUAGGUCCGCUGUGAAAACUCGAGGCUCAACCUCGAGACGCCGGUGGAAACCAUCAGGCUAGAGUCCGGAAGAGGAGAGUGGAAUUCCUGGAUGUAGCGGUGAAAUGCGCAGAUAUCAGGAGGAACACCAGUGGCGAAGGCGGUGCUCUGGGCCGGAACUGACGCUGAGGAGCGAAAGCGUGGGGAGCAAACAGG